CGGAGAAAGCUUUAUGCACCAUUGGAUGAGCCCGCACUUGAUUAGUUUGUUGGUGGGGUAAUGGCCUACCAAGACUGUGAUCAAUAGCUGAUUUGAGAGGAUGAUCAGCCACAUUGGGACUGAGACACGGCCCAAACUCCUACGGGAGGCAGCAGUGGGGAAUCUUGCACAAUGGAGGAAACUCUGAUGCAGCGAUGCCGCGUGAGUGAA
RNAcentral lists this ribosomal RNA (210 nucleotides) under uncultured bacterium. RNAcentral describes it as "partial 16S ribosomal RNA". It matches the Rfam family "Bacterial small subunit ribosomal RNA", at positions 198 to 409 of the family's 1533-position model. The record is from RNAcentral.